Molecule: ribosomal RNA, 468 nt
Filed under: uncultured bacterium
Lineage: Bacteria
Description: partial 16S ribosomal RNA
Rfam family: Bacterial small subunit ribosomal RNA
Source: RNAcentral
GACGAACGCUGGCGGCGUGCUUAACACAUGCAAGUCGAACGGAAAGGCCCUGCUUUUGUGGGGUGCUCGAGUGGCGAACGGGUGAGUAACACGUGAGUAACCUGCCCUUGACUUUGGGAUAACUUCAGGAAACUGGGGCUAAUACCGGAUAGGAGCUCCUGCUGCAUGGUGGGGGUUGGAAAGUUUCGGCGGUUGGGGAUGGACUCGCGGCUUAUCAGCUUGUUGGUGGGGUAGUGGCUUACCAAGGCUUUGACGGGUAGCCGGCCUGAGAGGGGGACCGGCCACAUUGGGACUGAGGUACGGCCCAGACUCCUACGGGAGGCAGCAGUGGGGAAUAUUGCACAAUGGGCGGAAGCCUGAUGCAGCAACGCCGCGUGCGGGAUGACGGCCUUCGGGUUGUAAACCGCUUUCGCCUGUGACGAGGCGUGAGUGACGGUAAUGGGUAAAGAAGCACCGGCUAACUACGUG